CCUAGGGCUUGGACAAAACGUCUAGAGCCACAGCAUUCCUAGCUGGCUCUCCCCUUGAACACUGAGCAGAAGGCUGGGGCUGAGGGAGGCAGAGUAGAGGGGAAGGCAGGCUGGAAGAGAGGCAGGGACAGGGAGAGACGAGGCCGGGGUAGGAGCUCCGAGACUGGGGGUGAGGGGGAUGAUGGGCCAGGGGGAAAAAGUGUGAAGGUGGGAGGGCGGAGUGGGUACAGCAACCUGGCUAAGGUGGGAGAAAGGUGAGGGACAGGGAGGCUGCGAUUUAAGGUGCCAUAGUAGGAAGAGGAAUGCUAGGCGGGUUGAAGACGAGGGACAAGGUGAGGAGAAAUGUCACAUGGAGGAGGAGGAGGAGGAGGAGGAGGAAGAGAAGGCCAGGACGGAAGAUAAAGGGGUGAAGAAGGACUGGGAGAAAGUCAUGUGAUUCUAGGCUGGAAGGGAUUUAAAUAAACAGAAAUACACAACUUUUCCUGCAUGGAAAAACUGUAUGAGUGUAGGAGGCUGAAGAAGAUGUCUCAAACAAGUAUAAGAAAUAUACUAGUCUGGAGGUGAAACAGGUAGCAAGAGAACAAAAAUGUUGGCAGAAAAAGAGUUCACUAUUCCAGCUUCAGGAGUGGAGAGUCUUUUUUUGUUGUUGCUUUUCCUGCCAUGGAUGUAAUGCUGCUUUGGACAGCGGCCGACGUCCAAUCAGACAACAGAACCGUCGGCUUUGUCAUAACGACAACCAUGACAUCACUGCAAGGGCUCGCGGAAAGAAGACAGCGGAGCUCCAGACAGACAGCGGGGCUCCACUGGGCUGCACGUCGGACAAAGCGAGCCGGCUGCCGGGUAGAAACGGCGCGGACUACCGGGGAUGGGGGAACACGCGGAGGGUGCCGUUUGGACGUUUCACGGCCGGCGUCGGGAGCUCUGUCCCGGACAAGUUGGGGCUUCCUCGCCGGGGGAAAGCGACAGGAAGAUAUGGAGGAGGUUGAAAUGGCAUCUUGUUUAAUUUCUGCCAAUCAAGACGAGAGGAGGACAACUCCCAAACUGGCAAAAGUGCUGUGUGCAGUAGAACGGGGGAUUUGGUGCCAUCAGCACGGUGAUGUCAGCACACAGGGACAAACAAAGCCAGAAUCUCAACCCUCUCCCAACUACCCACAAUCCCCCUGGACACUGUGGGGGGCCCUGCCUGGAGGCCCACUGCCGUUAACACACACACCCAUGUUAACACAGGAUCACACACUCAGAAUCGCAGAAAUUAACACACAAGCAGUUGCAUUCACAAUGUCGACGCACACACACACACACACACGCACACACACACACACACACACACAUGCUACUCAUACACACAUUGAUACAUACAUGUAGUAUAGGUGGCGUAAACUCAGGCCUUAUAUACUGUAUAUGCAAACAUGUGCUCAUUAUUCAUACAUGUCCACUGAAAUGUACAACAGUAUCAGUACACAUACAUGUAGAAACAUAUUGUAUAACUUGUCAUCACUGCACCAAUUCUUGGUCAUUUGGUUUAUACAUAGCUU
This 1535-nucleotide long non-coding RNA is filed under the name Cottoperca gobio. RNAcentral describes it as "lncRNA (ENSCGOG00000002337.1)". The record is from RNAcentral. Lineage: Eukaryota; Metazoa; Chordata; Actinopteri; Perciformes; Bovichtidae.